GGCGAACGCUGGCGGCAGGCCUAACACAUGCAAGUCGAACGAACUCUUCGGAGUUAGUGGCGGACGGGCGAGUAACACGUGGGAACGUGCCUUUAGGUUCGGAAUAACUCAGGGAAACUUGUGCUAAUACCGAAUGUGCCCUUCGGGGGAAAGAUUUAUCGCCUUUAGAGCGGCCCGCGUCGGAUUAGCUAGUUGGUGAGGUAAAGGCUCACCAAGGCGACGAUCAGUAGCUGGUCUGAGAGGAUGAUCAGCCACAUUGGGACUGAGACACGGCCCAAACUCCUACGGGAGGCAGCAGUGGGGAAUCUUGCGCAAUGGGCGAAAGCCUGACGCAGCCAUGCCGCGUGAAUGAUGAAGGUCUUAGGAUUGUAAAAUUCUUUCACCGGGGACGAUAAUGACGGUACCCGGAGAAGAAGCCCCGGCUAACUUCGUG
Molecule: ribosomal RNA, 433 nt
Filed under: uncultured bacterium
Lineage: Bacteria
Description: partial 16S ribosomal RNA
Rfam family: Bacterial small subunit ribosomal RNA
Source: RNAcentral